CGUUGAGGCGGGUCUGUAAGUUGGACGUGAAAGCUCCUGGCUCAACUGGGAGAUGUCGUUCAAUACUGCAGAGCUUCAGGGCAGCAGAGGGGGGUGGAAUUCCCGGUGUAGUGGUGAAAUGCGUAGAGAUCGGGAGGAACACCAGUGGCGAAGGCGGCCCCCUGGGCUGCUCCUGACGCUGAAGGCGAAAGCUAGGGGAGCGAACG
RNAcentral lists this ribosomal RNA (206 nucleotides) under uncultured bacterium. RNAcentral describes it as "partial 16S ribosomal RNA". It matches the Rfam family "Bacterial small subunit ribosomal RNA", at positions 568 to 774 of the family's 1533-position model. The record is from RNAcentral.